CGCACUGGUCGUUUCCUUCGUCCAGUAGAAAGAGAGAGGAAGGAGGUCGCCAGAUACGCCCGCCCCGCUCCAACCCUCUUCUCCUCCUCACGCACGGCACCUCCUUUCUCCUCCCUCUCCCUCUCUCUCAGACCCACUGGCGGCGGAGACUGGAGGCACAACACUGCACGCGCCGGCCGGCGAGAGGAGCUGCGCUGCCGCCGGCGCACCGACUGCGUCUACUGCCUCGCCUCCCCGUUGACCUAAAGAAGGUAUAUUCCCACAUUGAACUAAAUUAUUGCUAUAUUCGGUUGAUUCAGACAUAUUGUAUCUUCAAUGGCUUUCACUGCUGGGCAAAAUCAAGCGAUGGAAGGCCUUGUGGUUGUCGUUCCCAUGGCUGUGCCGUUCACUUUUAUGCAGGGUUUAAAGUUUGAUGUAGGAUGGGCACACAAGUUUGAUGUUUGCAGUUACAGAUUUUUGUCAAAGCCCGCUGAAACGAAGUUUAGUUCAGCAAACCAUGUAUGUUGGAAGAAAGCAAAUUUCUUGCCUUCUGAAUCCUCCGUAGCCACCAUAUUUUAUUUCAGACCGAAUUGUCCCAGCUCAGUGUAUCUCAGUGAAGUAGCGGGUUCAUGCAAGGCCUGGCCGACGGCAACGACUUUAGGGGCUGCCGUGCUCUGCAUACUUCGUCUAGGUAAAUUGUGCUAGCUUUCAGAUUAUUCAUUUUCGUUUUACCCUAUCAAAGAUCUUCUCAGAUUAGUUAACCAGGCUAUGUAAUUAUGGUGUUGUGAUUCCGAGGGCUCCGUUGGAGGAUCAGCUUUGGUUCAGACUUCAGAGGCAGGUUUUGGGCAUACCGCAGCACAAGCAGAGGCAGAUCUCAGUCAAUGCUACUGCAGUUGAUGAUGCCCUGAAGCUUUCUUCAGUAACUGACUCAGCGUGCUGCUGUUCUCUAAGGUCGUUGAGUGCUGAGAACAGGCAAUAUAAUUAGGAUUUUAACGAGAAGUUGGAGGAGAUAAAAACUUUCAGGAAGUGUUUAGGCGAGUUCCAUGCCGAAAAUAAUGUUAUGUGAGCAGAGAGUGCAGGCUUGUGCUCUUCUGUUGAAGAGCUUGAGCAUGAGAGAUUGAAUCAACACAUAAGUCAUGAGAGCAUAUCUUUAGACGAGGAGAGGCGACUGGUCAAAGAAAUUAAGACCCUUGAAAAAACCAGACCGAGGGUCAGUUCCAAGGCUGCUAAGCAAGCUAAAAUGCAAGAUAUAGUGGUUGAGAGAGAUGCCAUACAGGAUCAGGUGAAAAUCAUCAUACAUGGACUAAAGGAGGGAAAAGCAGCCAGGUCUAAGAUUAAGGUCCUGGGCGAUAAGGCGAUGGGCGUGGAGAGCUGCUACGAGCUCGCGCAGGCGGCGUACUCAACCUCGUGCUGCACACGCUCAAGCACCUGGCGGCCGUCGUCAAUGGGCUCCUCGUCCAUGAUUACCUGGACAACAUGAACCUCGAGGAGGUUGUGAAGGGGAACAUCUGUGACGCCGUUCUUUAGAUAAUAAUAAUGGUGCAAUACUGCAUAGGAGGAAGUUGUUUGGGCCUUUUACUGAUGGAUAUAUUUAUUACUUUUGAUCCUCAUCAAUAAUCUCCAGGCCUUUGGGAGUUUGCUAGCAGUCCUGGUCAGACUUGGACCAGGGACUAGAGAGUUCCUGUUCUGCGCCUUAUGCGCCCGAACACCUCGCUGGCGCACACAGCCGCACCUUGUUGGGCCGGCCCAUGAAGGAGGAUCGCAGCGAGGUCGAAAAUUGCAAAAAAGUGCUUUCCAGGAUUCGAACUCAGGGGAGGAAGAUGGUGAAGCCAAAGAUGAGCAACUCUGAUUGGGGAACGACGACCGGCGAGCAGCAGCCCAUAGAGAUGGCCGGCUCCAUUCGACCAUGACGCGAGCGACUCCGGAGCUCCGGCCUGGCUGCUCCUUCCCCAUGCCUGUCCUACUCAUCCUCCCAUGCUUCUCCAGACCAAGCAUGAAGACCACACCAGCGAGGCUCUCUUAUGGCCGCGACCUGUGCCCGAUCAAGAAUCACGAUAUGUGGUGGCGCCGGAUCGAGAACGCAUGAGACGCUGUCCUGUGGGGAAGAGAAAGAGGUUAACAUGGUAUAAAAUAAAGUAGUCAUUUUUCAUGUAGUGAAACUUUAGUUUUGGGCAAGAUGAUCAAAAAUAAAAAUAUAACUAAUGCAACAGGAGAACCACAUAUGAAGUUAUCAUCAACUUAAGAUCUUGACCAUAAAAUUGAUUUUCUUUAGGCAUUGUACCACACGCAAGAUUGCCACAAAUCACAAUGAAAUGUGUGUACGAAUCUCUUGUUCGGUCCUAAAACUGGAUUUGUAAGUCAUGCAACUGAGCAUAGACUUUUUUGUGUGCGGGAGAACUGGACA
Aegilops tauschii subsp. strangulata is the source of this 2383-nucleotide non-coding RNA. NCBI's taxonomy places the organism in Eukaryota, Viridiplantae, Streptophyta, Magnoliopsida, Poales, Poaceae. The record is from RefSeq and is a predicted model, not a curated record.